RNAcentral lists this ribosomal RNA (263 nucleotides) under uncultured Staphylococcus sp. RNAcentral describes it as "partial 16S ribosomal RNA". It matches the Rfam family "Bacterial small subunit ribosomal RNA", at positions 99 to 355 of the family's 1533-position model. The record is from RNAcentral. Lineage: Bacteria; Bacillati; Bacillota; Bacilli; Caryophanales; Staphylococcaceae.
CGGACGGGUGAGUAACACGUGGAUAACCUACCUAUAAGACUGGGAUAACUUCGGGAAACCGGAGCUAAUACCGGAUAAUAUAUUGAACCGCAUGGUUCAAUGGUGAAAGACGGUUUUGCUGUCACUUAUAGAUGGAUCCGCGCCGCAUUAGCUAGUUGGUAAGGUAACGGCUUACCAAGGCAACGAUGCGUAGCCGACCUGAGAGGGUGAUCGGCCACACUGGAACUGAGACACGGUCCAGACUCCUACGGGAGGCAGCAGUC